GAUAUACACUACUCGCCGGCAGGGGAAGAGGCGAUCAGCGGCGAUGCGGGUCUCGCCGACCGAUGCGCCGAUGCGGCAGCGUUUCCAACCAUGGCCGCCGCCACCCGUCCGCACCUCUACUGCCCUACCCCUGUCCUGGAAGAUGUCAGGCGGCGAUUUCCUCUGCCCGUGGUGGAUCUCAAAGGGCGCCCAAAAAAUUGAUCCAACCCGCCGGGGAAAGAGAGCUACAACAAGUUCUACUCUAUCUAUAGAGGACGACCGCAUUGGUCAAAGGUGGUGGAAGACGGAACGACGGCUGGGUCAUUGCCCAGCUGCCGCCACCACUCUCUCUGUCGCCUUUCCGCCGGUGGUGAUGUUCCACGAUGCUGUGGCAGCGAGGGAACUGGGAUUCUGCAUCUCUAGAGCAAUCUCCUUACCUUACUCUGUUGUUUGUUUUCUCAGGAUACAGAUGGCAUCCCAUGUAUUAUUAGAGCUGGUUGACCAUCCAUUUGGCAAAUGUCGUGUGCAUGAUGCUGAUAUAUCAAGGCUCUCAUUUGCUGUGAAAUUACCACUGAAGAAUUCCGUGGGAUGUUUCUUUAUCUCUCAUUCCAUUCCUAAUUGCUUCAAUCUUUUCUAAGUUGUAACACUGACAUUUCUCCUUGAAAUAUUUGUCCUACCUGGUGGUUAACAGAGUAAAGUUAUCUCAUUUUCAUGUAUCAAAGUUAGCAUGAUACGUCCGGCUCAUGCCGCUCAAGAACUGCUGCUGAGUUGGAAAAUAUCCUGAAGAAAAUGCAUAUGUUCCAUCAUUUUGGCAUCUUGGGGUUCUUGCUCAUCAGGUACAAGAGGUUGGUUUGUUACCAUACAAUUAGCUAUUAAUGUUAAUAAUCUUUACUGUAUUUAGACUUAUUGUUAAUCAGUCUAGAAGAUUAUUUGUGUUAAUAUCUACUCAGAGUUUCAAUCUAAAACAAGGCGUUUACUGUAUACCACAAUCCUCUCUAUUGUUGUUUAUGUAAAUUUCUGAAUUUUAUCUGAAGUUCAGUCAUCAGAUGUGGCAGAAUUCUUUUGCAAUGAUUACUUUUUUUGUUGAUGAGGUUUCAUGGUAUUUGUAGGAGAUUAAAGUACGUUAGUAGGGAUUGAAGUUAAAAUAGUAAAUCGUCAAAUAUAUGCCGCUGAUAAGUAAAAAAUUGAUCGCCAGAUGUUCGUAGUAGCUGCACAAUCAUCCCGAUAUUUCAGGCUUUGAAUUCUGAGAUAUUCCAAACCAUCUUUAUUGGUGCAAUUUUCUAAGGUUGCUUCAUGCCCAGUUGAUAAAUCAAGCAAAUUCAACUCAUUUACUUCAUGAGAUAUUGGAUAUAUAGCAAUGUUGCGUUUGUAAUGGCAAGAUUGUGUGACUUUUAUUUGUUAUGUAUUGGAACUUUUGGAACUCCUUAAUAUGGGAUGUCGUAAAGGUAAUUCAUACAUCAACGGAUGAUCCAUCCUUUUCACCAUCUUGGCUUAUGUAUUAUGAC
RNA transcript from Brachypodium distachyon (stiff brome), 1484 nucleotides. RefSeq lists it as uncharacterized. The transcript is spliced from 4 exons. NCBI's taxonomy places the organism in Eukaryota, Viridiplantae, Streptophyta, Magnoliopsida, Poales, Poaceae. The record is from RefSeq and is a predicted model, not a curated record.